CAAGGUUAACCAUCUAGGGGAGCCGUAGGGAAACCGAGUCUUAACUGGGCGCCAUAGUCUCUGGAUAUAGACCCGAAACCGAGUGAUCUAGCCAUGGGCAGGUUGAAGGUUGAGUAACAUCAACUGGAGGACCGAACCGACUAAUGUUGAAAAAUUAGCGGAUGACUUGUGGCUAGGGGUGAAAGGCCAAUCAAACUCGGAGAUAGCUGGUUCUCCCCGAAAGCUAUUUAGGUAGCGCCUCGGACGAAUACUACUGGGGGUAGAGCACUGUUAAGGCUAGGGGGUCAUCCCGACUUACCAACCCUUUGCAAACUCCGAAUACCAGUAAGUACUAUCCGGGAGACACACGGCGGGUGCUAACGUCCGUCGUGGAGAGGGAAACAACCCAGACCGCCAGCUAAGGUCCCAAAUUACAGCUAAGUGGGAAACGAUGUGGGAAGGCUUAGACAGCUAGGAUGUUGGCUUAGAAGCAGCCAUCAUUUAAAGAAAGCGUAAUAGCUCACUAGUCGAGUCGGCCUGCGCGGAAGAUGUAACGGGGCUAAGUUGUAAACCGAAGCUGCGGCAAUGUUCUUUGAACAUUGGGUAGGGGAGCGUUCUGUAAGCCGUUGAAGGUGUGUUGUAAAGCAUGCUGGAGGUAUCAGAAGUGCGAAUGCUGACAUGAGUAACGACAAGGGGGGUGAAAAACCUCCCCGCCGGAAGACCAAGGGUUCCUGUCCAACGUUAAUCGGGGCAGGGUAAGUCGACCCCUAAGGCGAGGCUGAAAAGCGUAGUCGAUGGGAAACGGGUUAAUAUUCCCGUACUUCUUACAAUUGCGAUGGGGGGACGGAGAAGGCUAGGUGGGCCUGGCGACGGUUGUCCAGGUUCAAGUGCGUAGGCUGAGUGUUUAGGUAAAUCCGGAUACUCUUAAGGCUGAGACACGACGUCGAGCUACUACGGUAGUGAAGUCAUUGAUGCCAUGCUUCCAGGAAAAGCCUCUAAGCUUCAGAUUGUAAGGAAUCGUACCCCAAACCGACACAGGUGGUCGGGUAGAGAAUACCAAGGCGCUUGAGAGAACUCGGGUGAAGGAACUAGGCAAAAUGGUACCGUAACUUCGGGAGAAGGUACGCUCUUGAUGGUGAAGUCCCUUGCGGAUGGAGCUGACGAGAGUCGCAGAUACCAGGUGGCUGCAACUGUUUAUUAAAAACACAGCACUGUGCAAAAUCGUAAGAUGACGUAUACGGUGUGACGCCUGCCCGGUGCCGGAAGGUUAAUUGAUGGGGUUAGCGUAAGCGAAGCUCUUGAUCGAAGCCCCGGUAAACGGCGGCCGUAACUAUAACGGUCCUAAGGUAGCGAAAUUCCUUGUCGGGUAAGUUCCGACCUGCACGAAUGGCGUAAUGAUGGCCACGCUGUCUCCACCCGAGACUCAGUGAAAUUGAAAUCGCUGUGAAGAUGCAGUGUACCCGCGGCUAGACGGAAAGACCCCGUGAACCUUUACUACAGCUUGGCACUGAACAUUGAACCUACAUGUGUAGGAUAGGUGGGAGGCUUUGAAGACGUGACGC
RNAcentral lists this ribosomal RNA (1541 nucleotides) under Vibrio vulnificus JY1305. RNAcentral describes it as "bacterial LSU rRNA". It matches the Rfam family "Bacterial large subunit ribosomal RNA", at positions 641 to 2171 of the family's 2925-position model. Lineage: Bacteria; Pseudomonadati; Pseudomonadota; Gammaproteobacteria; Vibrionales; Vibrionaceae. The record is from RNAcentral.